RNAcentral lists this small RNA (28 nucleotides) under Bombyx mori (domestic silkworm). Its description in RNAcentral is "ovarian small RNA-37591". Lineage: Eukaryota; Metazoa; Arthropoda; Insecta; Lepidoptera; Bombycidae. The record is from RNAcentral.
UUGAAAAUUGUUCGAUUUUUUAUUGGUC